Molecule: ribosomal RNA, 407 nt
Filed under: uncultured bacterium
Lineage: Bacteria
Description: partial 16S ribosomal RNA
Rfam family: Bacterial small subunit ribosomal RNA
Source: RNAcentral
AUUGAACGCUGGCGGCAGGCCUAACACAUGCAAGUCGAACGGAGUGGCGGACGGGUGAGUAAUGCCUAGGAAUCUGCCUGGUAGCGGGGGAUAACGCCCGGAAACGGGCGCUAAUACCGCAUACCAUCCGAUGAGCCUAGGUGGGAUUAGCUAGUUGGUGGGGUAAAGGCUUACCAAGGCGACGAUCCCUAACUGGUCUGAGAGGAUGAUCAGUCACACUGGAACUGAGCAACGGUCCAGACUCCUACGGGAGGCAGCAGUGGGGAAUAUUGGACAAUGGGCGAAAGCCUGAUCCAGCCAUGCCGCGUGUGUGAAGAAGGUCUUCGGAUUGUAAAGCACUUUCAGUUGGGAGGCGUUACCAGCAGAAUAAGCACCGGCUAACUUCGUGCCAGCCGCCGCGGUAAUUC